This 154-nucleotide small nuclear RNA is filed under the name Loxodonta africana (African savanna elephant). Lineage: Eukaryota; Metazoa; Chordata; Mammalia; Proboscidea; Elephantidae. The record is from RNAcentral.
GUGCUUUAACCACUGUGCCACCAGGGCUUCUUAAAAAAUAUGGAAACCCAAACAAAUUUGGCAGCACAUAUACUCAAAUUAGAAAGAUACAGAGAAGAUUAGCAUGGCCUUACACAAAGGAUGACACAUAAAUAUGUGGUAUAUGUAUGUAUAU